GACGAACGCUGGCGGCGCGCCUAACACAUGCAAGUCGAACGGGAUCUAUUGGAGCUUGCUCUGGCAGAUCUAGUGGCGGACGGGUGAGUAACACGUGAGCAACCUGCCCUUAAGAGGGGGAUAACGUCUGGAAACGGACGCUAAUACCGCAUAACAUACCGAAGUGGCAUCGUUUUGGUAUCAAAGGAGAAAUCCGCUUAAGGAUGGGCUCGCGCCCGAUUAGAUAGUUGGCGGGGUAACGGCCCACCAAGUCGACGAUCGGUAGCCGGACUGAGAGGUUGAUCGGCCACAUUGGGACUGAGACACAGCCCAGACUCCUACGGGAGGCAGCAGUGGGGAAUAUUGCACAAUGGGGGAAACCCUGAUGCAGCGACGCCGCGUGAGUGAAGACGGUCUUCGGAUUGUAAAGCUCUGUUGCAGAGGACGAUAAUGACGGUACUCUGUGAGGAAGCCACGGCUAACUACGUGCCAGCAGCCGCCGCCGUAAGAC
This 490-nucleotide ribosomal RNA is filed under the name uncultured bacterium. RNAcentral describes it as "bacterial SSU rRNA". It matches the Rfam family "Bacterial small subunit ribosomal RNA", at positions 28 to 526 of the family's 1533-position model. The record is from RNAcentral.